GAUGAACGCUGGCGGCGUGCCUAAUACAUGCAAGUCGAGCGAACGGACGAGAAGCUUGCUUUUCUGAUGUUAGCGGCGGACGGGUGAGUAACACGUGGAUAACCUACCUAUAAGACUGGGAUAACUUCGGGAAACCGGAGCUAAUACCGGAUAAUAUUUUGAACCGCAUGGUUCAAAAGUGAAAGACGGUCUUGCUGUCACUUAUAGAUGGAUCCGCGCUGCAUUAGCUAGUUGGUAAGGUAACGGCUACCAAGGCAACGAUGCAUAGCCGACCUGAGAGGGUGAUCGGCCACACUGGAACUGAGACACGGUCCAGACUCCUACGGGAGGCAGCAGUAGGGAAUCUUCCGCAAUGGGCGAAAGCCUGACGGAGCAACGCCGCGUGAGUGAUGAAGGUCUUCGGAUCGUAAAACUCUGUUAUUAGGGAAGAACAUAUGUGUAAGUAACUGUGCGCAUCUUGACGGUACCUAAUCAGAAAGCCACGGCUAACUACGUG
RNAcentral lists this ribosomal RNA (496 nucleotides) under uncultured bacterium. Its description in RNAcentral is "partial 16S ribosomal RNA". It matches the Rfam family "Bacterial small subunit ribosomal RNA", at positions 28 to 507 of the family's 1533-position model. The record is from RNAcentral.